Molecule: non-coding RNA, 27 nt
Filed under: Mus musculus (house mouse)
Lineage: Eukaryota; Metazoa; Chordata; Mammalia; Rodentia; Muridae
Source: RNAcentral
UGCCUUCAUGAAUGCAAAAUGAGAUGG